RNAcentral lists this ribosomal RNA (219 nucleotides) under Bacteroides caecigallinarum. RNAcentral's name for it is "partial 16S ribosomal RNA". It matches the Rfam family "Bacterial small subunit ribosomal RNA", at positions 726 to 947 of the family's 1533-position model. The record is from RNAcentral. Lineage: Bacteria; Pseudomonadati; Bacteroidota; Bacteroidia; Bacteroidales; Bacteroidaceae.
CUGCUGGACCGUAACUGACGUUGAUGCUCGAAAGUGUGGGUAUCAAACAGGAUUAGAUACCCUGGUAGUCCACACGGUAAACGAUGGAUACUCGCUGUUGGCGAUAUACAGUCAGCGGCCAAGCGAAAGCAUUAAGUAUCCCACCUGGGGAGUACGCCGGCAACGGUGAAACUCAAAGGAAUUGACGGGGGCCCGCACAAGCGGAGGAACAUGUGGUUU